This 497-nucleotide ribosomal RNA is filed under the name uncultured bacterium. Its description in RNAcentral is "partial 16S ribosomal RNA". It matches the Rfam family "Bacterial small subunit ribosomal RNA", at positions 28 to 507 of the family's 1533-position model. The record is from RNAcentral.
GAUGAACGCUGGCGGCGUGCCUAAUACAUGCAAGUCGAGCGAACGGACGAGACGCUUGCUUCUCUGAUGUUAGCGGCGGACGGGUGAGUAACACGUGGAUAACCUACCUAUAAGUCUGGGAUAACUUCGGGACACCGGAGCUAAUACCGGAUGAUAUUUUGAACCGCAUGGUUCAAAAGUGAAAGACGGUCUUGCUGUCACUUAUAGAUGGAUCCGCGCUGCAUUAGCUAGUUGGUAAGGUAACGGCUUACCAAGGCAACGAUGCAUAGCCGACCUGAGAGGGUGGUCGGCCACACUGGAACUGAGACACGGUCCAGACGCCUACGGGAGGGAGCAGUAGGGAAUCUUCCGCAAUGGGCGAAAGCCUGACGGAGCAACGCCGCGUGAGUGAUGAAGGUCUUCGGAUCGUAAAGCUCUGUUAUUAGGGAAGAACAGAUGUGUAAGUAACUGUGCACAUCUUGACGGUACCUAAUCAGAAAGCCACGGCUAACUACGUG